GAGUCUAGCAUGUGCGCGAGUCGUUGGGUAAACUGCGUGCAGGGGGGCGACCCCCUCUCGCGAUCACUCUAAACCUCGUAGGCGCAAUGAAAGUAAAAGUCCGCCUCGCGCGGACCCAGGGAGGAUGGGCCGGCCGACGAGUCGGCCCCGCACUCCCGGGGCGUCUCCGUAACGCUCGGUCGACUUAAGUUCGGUCGAGCGUGGGGGCGCACCCAGAGCGUACACGCUGGGACCCGAAAGAUGGUGAACUAUGCCUGGUCAGGACGAAGUCAGGGGAAACCCUGAUGGAGGUCCGUAGCGAUUCUGACGUGCAAAUCGAUCGUCGGAACUGGGUAUAGGGGCGAAAGACUAAUCGAACCAUCUAGUAGCUGGUUCCCUCCGAAGUUUCCCUCAGGAUAGCUGGCGCUCGCCAUUUGAGCGAGUCUCAUCUGGUAAAGCGAAUGAUUAGAGGCAUUGGGGUCGAAACGGCCUCAACCUAUUCUCAAACUUUAAAUGGGUGAGAUCUCCGGCUUGCUUAAAUAGUGAAGCCGCGAGAUAAUAUAUUACAAUUAUGCCCGACGACCUUCGUGUCGUCGUCAGUAUAAUAAUGUAAAGGAUCAGAGUGCCAAGUGGGCCACUUUUGGUAAGCAGAACUGGCGCUGUGGGAUGAACCAAACGUAGAGUUAAAGCGCCCAAAUCGAAGCUUAUGGGAUACCAUGAAAGGCGUUGGUAACUUAAGACAGCAGGACGGUGGCCAUGGAAGUCGGA
This 747-nucleotide ribosomal RNA is filed under the name Blackbolbus sp. NLG-2014. RNAcentral describes it as "eukaryotic LSU rRNA". It matches the Rfam family "Eukaryotic large subunit ribosomal RNA", at positions 671 to 1265 of the family's 3401-position model. Lineage: Eukaryota; Metazoa; Arthropoda; Insecta; Coleoptera; Geotrupidae. The record is from RNAcentral.